RNAcentral lists this ribosomal RNA (430 nucleotides) under uncultured bacterium. RNAcentral describes it as "bacterial SSU rRNA". It matches the Rfam family "Bacterial small subunit ribosomal RNA", at positions 352 to 774 of the family's 1533-position model. The record is from RNAcentral.
CAGUGGGGAAUUUUGGACAAUGGGCGCAAGCCUGAUCCAGCCAUGCCGCGUGCGGGAAGAAGGCCUUCGGGUUGUAAACCGCUUUUGUCAGGGAAGAAACGGCUCGGGCUAAUACCUCGGGCUAAUGACGGUACCUGAAGAAUAAGCACCGGCUAACUACGUGCCAGCAGCCGCGGUAAUACGUAGGGUGCGAGCGUUAAUCGGAAUUACUGGGCGUAAAGCGUGCGCAGGCGGUUUUGUAAGACAGAGGUGAAAUCCCCGGGCUCAACCUGGGAACUGCCUUUGUGACUGCAAGGCUUGAGUGCGGCAGAGGGGGAUGGAAUUCCGCGUGUAGCAGUGAAAUGCGUAGAUAUGCGGAGGAACACCGAUGGCGAAGGCAAUCCCCUGGGCCUGCACUGACGCUCAUGCACGAAAGCGUGGGGAGCAAACA